CUUGCAUUAAUGAGGACUAUACAGAAAACCUUCCUAAGGAUUUGUAUAGAUCUGAUGUAUGGCAAA
Cavia porcellus (domestic guinea pig) is the source of this 66-nucleotide regulatory RNA element. It matches the Rfam family "Selenocysteine insertion sequence 1". From Rfam's summary of the family: The incorporation of selenocysteine into a protein sequence is directed by an in-frame UGA codon (usually a stop codon) within the coding region of the mRNA. Selenoprotein mRNAs contain a conserved secondary structure in the 3' UTR that is required for the distinction of UGA stop from UGA selenocysteine. The selenocysteine insertion sequence (SECIS) is around 60 nt in length and adopts a hairpin structure which is sufficiently well-defined and conserved to act as a computational screen for selenoprotein genes. The record is from Rfam. NCBI's taxonomy places the organism in Eukaryota, Metazoa, Chordata, Mammalia, Rodentia, Caviidae.